Physella acuta is the source of this 357-nucleotide long non-coding RNA. RefSeq lists it as uncharacterized. The record is from RefSeq and is a predicted model, not a curated record. Lineage: Eukaryota; Metazoa; Mollusca; Gastropoda; Physidae.
AGUUAAAGUAGAGAUUUAAUAAGAUCAAUUGAUUUUUCUUAUCUAAAGUUAAUCACAGAUCACUCAGAUUUCGAGUAGAGCAGGGAUAUAGACAACACUAAACUAAAGCCUUGAUCAGAACCUCUAAAAAAUGAAGCGUUCAGUGACUUUUCUGCUCUGUGUCAGCUUGGCUGUCGUUCUCUUUGUUGAUCUGGCACACUCAACCCAGCUUGAGACAAGAGCAGACGACGAAAAAAAGCCUGGCAAGGUAGAGAUGGUUUUAAUCAAGGACUUACUAAAGAAAAAGUUCACAGUCUCUGCUGUUACAGAAGUGAAAGUAAACUCGCAAAAAUAAAACAAAAAGAAAUACACUGUAAA